GUGCUUGCCUUGGCAGCAUAUAUACUAAAACCAGAAUGAUAGAGAUUAGCAUAGCCCCUGCACAAUGAUGAUGCACACAUUUCCAUAUAAAAAUCUAUUUUCA
This is a small nuclear RNA of Saimiri boliviensis boliviensis (Bolivian squirrel monkey), 103 nucleotides long. The record is from Ensembl. NCBI's taxonomy places the organism in Eukaryota, Metazoa, Chordata, Mammalia, Primates, Cebidae.